UACGGAGGGGGCUAGCGUUGUUCGGAAUCACUGGGCGUAAAGCGCACGUAGGCGGAUUUGUAAGUCAGGGGUGAAAUCCCGGGGCUCAACCUCGGAACUGCCUUUGAUACUGCGAAUCUUGAGUCCGAUAGAGGUGGGUGGAAUUCCUAGUGUAGAGGUGAAAUUCGUAGAUAUUAGGAAGAACACCGGUGGCGAAGGCGGCCCACUGGAUCGGUACUGACGCUGAGGUGCGAAAGCGUGGGGAGCAAACAGG
RNAcentral lists this ribosomal RNA (253 nucleotides) under uncultured bacterium. Its description in RNAcentral is "partial 16S ribosomal RNA". It matches the Rfam family "Bacterial small subunit ribosomal RNA", at positions 524 to 776 of the family's 1533-position model. The record is from RNAcentral.